ACGGGUGAGUAACACGUAAAGAACCUGCCUCAUAGACUGGGACAACUAUUGGAAACGAUAGCUAAUACUGGAUAACAGCAUUAACUGCAUGGUUGAUGUUUAAAAGUUGGUUUUGCUAACACUAUGAGAUGGCUUUGCGGUGCAUUAGCUAGUUGGUGGGGUAAAGGCCUACCAAGGCGACGAUGCAUAGCCGACCUGAGAGGGUGAUCGGCCACACUGGGACUGAGACACGGCCCAGACUCCUACGGGAGGCAGCAGUGGGGAAUAUUGCGCAAUGGGGGCAACCCUGACGCAGCCAUGCCGCGUGAAUGAAGAAGGCCUUCGGGUUGUAAAGUUCUUUCGGUAGCGAGGAAGGCAUUUAGUUUAAUAGACUAGGUGAUUGACGUUAACUACAGAAGAAGCACCGGCUAACUCCGUGCCAGCAGCCGCGGUAAUACGGAGGGUGCGAGCGUUAAUCGGAAUAACCGGGGCGUAAAGGGCACGCAGGCGGUGACUUAAGUGAGGUGUGAAAGCCCCGGGCUUAACCUGGGAAUUGCAUUUUCAUACUGGGUCGCUAGAGUACUUUAGGGGAGGGGUAGAAUUCCACGUGUAGCGGUGAAAAUGCGUAGAGAUGUGGAGGAAUACCGAAGGGCGAAGGCGGCCCCUGGGGAAUGUACUGACGCUC
This 664-nucleotide ribosomal RNA is filed under the name uncultured bacterium. RNAcentral describes it as "bacterial SSU rRNA". It matches the Rfam family "Bacterial small subunit ribosomal RNA", at positions 102 to 748 of the family's 1533-position model. The record is from RNAcentral.